RNAcentral lists this ribosomal RNA (253 nucleotides) under uncultured bacterium. RNAcentral's name for it is "partial 16S ribosomal RNA". It matches the Rfam family "Bacterial small subunit ribosomal RNA", at positions 524 to 776 of the family's 1533-position model. The record is from RNAcentral.
GACGAACCGUGCGAACGUUGUUCGGAAUCACUGGGCUUAAAGGGCGCGUAGGCGGGCAGGCAAGUCGAAGGUGAAAUCCCACGGCUCAACCGUGGAAGUGCCCCCGAUACUGCCUGUCUUGAGGGGGAUAGGGGCGUGCGGAACUUCCGGUGGAGCGGUGAAAUGCGUAGAUAUCGGAAGGAACACCGGUGGCGAAAGCGGCGCGCUGGAUCCCUUCUGACGCUGAGGCGCGAAAGCCAGGGGAGCAAACGGG